RNAcentral lists this ribosomal RNA (467 nucleotides) under uncultured bacterium. Its description in RNAcentral is "partial 16S ribosomal RNA". It matches the Rfam family "Bacterial small subunit ribosomal RNA", at positions 28 to 507 of the family's 1533-position model. The record is from RNAcentral.
GACGAACGCUGGCGGCGUGCUUAACACAUGCAAGUCGAACGGAAAGGCCUCUUUCGGGGGGUACUCGAGUGGCGAACGGGUGAGUAGCACGUGAGUAACCUGCCCUUGACUUUGGGAUAACUUCAGGAAACUGGGGCUAAUACCGGAUAGGAGCUCCUGCUGCAUGGUGGGGGUUGGAAAGUUUCGGCGGUUGGGGAUGGACUCGCGGCUUAUCAGCUUGUUGGUGGGGUAGUGGCUUACCAAGGCUUUGACGGGUAGCCGGCCUGAGAGGGUGACCGGCCACAUUGGGACUGAGAUACGGCCCAGACUCCUACGGGAGGCAGCAGUGGGGAAUAUUGCACAAUGGGUGGAAGCCUGAUGCAGCAACGCCGUGUGCGGGAUGACGGUCUUCGGGUUGUAAACCGCUUUCGCUCAUGACGAAGCUUUGUGUGACGGUAGUGGGUAAAGAAGCACCGGCUAACUACGUG